UUCCACCAAGCCCAGAGUUUUGUUCUGAAUGGGGUACGUCUACACUGCACGAUUAUUUCGAAUUAGCUUAAACCGUAUUACACAACAGAUCUAAUAAAAAUCGUUUUAGCGCGUCA
Molecule: non-coding RNA, 116 nt
Organism: Chelonoidis abingdonii (Abingdon island giant tortoise)
Lineage: Eukaryota; Metazoa; Chordata; Testudines; Testudinidae
Source: RefSeq, a predicted model, not a curated record